AGGAUAAUAGUUAAAUAAUAAUAUUUAAUUUGCUCUUAAAAGUUAAUUCCAAAUUUUAUCUUA
Molecule: transfer RNA, 63 nt
Filed under: Dendrocerus sp. ZJUH_2016009
Lineage: Eukaryota; Metazoa; Arthropoda; Insecta; Hymenoptera; Megaspilidae
Description: tRNA-Ala
Source: RNAcentral